CGCGACAUCGGCCUCAACGUCGGUGACGUCUUCUUCACAAUGGCCGUGACAUUGGGGUCGGUGUCAAUGACGUCUUCCUCAAUGAUCACAACUUCUGUGUCGGUGUCGGUGUCGAUGACGUCUUCCUCAAUGACAGCGACGUCGGUGACGCUGACGCCUCUGUCAAUUACUUCAAUGCCAGCCUUGAUGUCGGCGACGUCUUUCUUAAUGACCGCUACGUCGGCGGCUUCCUUCUCAAUGACUUCGACGCCGGCCUCGAUGUCAGCGACGUCUUUCUCAAUGACUUCGACGCCAGCCUCGACAUUGGCGACGUCUUUCUAAAUGACUUCGACACCAGCCUCAACGUUAGCAACAUCUUUCUCAAUGACUUCGACGCCAGCCUCGACGUCGGCGACAUCUUUCUCAAUGAUUUCACGUCAGUGUCAUACUUCUUAAUGACUUCGACGCUAGCCUCGACGUCGGUGUUGUCCUUCUCAAUAACUACGACGCCAGCCUCGACAUGGAUGAUGUCUAUCUCAAUAACCUCAACGCUAACCUCAAAGUCGGUGUCAACCUCGACGGUGGUGCCAACCUCGAUUUCGGCAUAUGCAUCUUUCUUAAUAACCUCGGCCCCAAUCUAGACUUCAGUGUCAAUCUCGACGUUGGUGAUGUCUUUUUCAAUAACCUCGAUGCCAACCUCGACGUCGGUGACGUCUUUCUCAAUAACCUCAUUGCUAACCUUGACGUCGGCCUAGAUGAUGAUGAUGGCAGACUCAAUAACGGUCAUCGACG
Molecule: long non-coding RNA, 771 nt
Filed under: Rosa chinensis
Lineage: Eukaryota; Viridiplantae; Streptophyta; Magnoliopsida; Rosales; Rosaceae
Description: sRNA RchiOBHm_Chr2g0159701
Source: RNAcentral